UACGGUAGCAAAACUCUUCUUUAAAUAAAACAUGGGCCUUUGAUAAAGAUAUCCCUUAUCACCAUAUUCAUUUAUUUUGCAUACAGAGAUGGUGAGAAGAGCCAUCCAUGCGAAGGUGUGGAAAGGAUUUAUUUAGAGAUAUCAGUCAAACGGGCCAGCCCAUCCGUGGGUCAUUUGCUUUUCACAGAUGAUUGUAUCUUGGUUCUCAAGAUAAGACUAAA
RNAcentral lists this long non-coding RNA (221 nucleotides) under Elaeis guineensis (African oil palm). RNAcentral describes it as "long non-coding RNA (EGUI_LNC021156)". Lineage: Eukaryota; Viridiplantae; Streptophyta; Magnoliopsida; Arecales; Arecaceae. The record is from RNAcentral.